This is a long non-coding RNA of Nannospalax galili (Upper Galilee mountains blind mole rat), 621 nucleotides long. RefSeq lists it as uncharacterized. The transcript is spliced from 2 exons. The record is from RefSeq and is a predicted model, not a curated record. NCBI's taxonomy places the organism in Eukaryota, Metazoa, Chordata, Mammalia, Rodentia, Spalacidae.
UUAAAAUUUACCUUGCUACUUUUCUUAAAGUGGUGUUGGUGAUUUUUUAGGAACUCUGUCCUAUAACAUUUGGAGGUUCCACUGAGAUCCAGAGGAUUUCUGGGCCCGGCAGCUUUGGGAAACUCUCUGAGAAGGGAGCUGCCCAGCAGUAUUCUGAGGACUCCCCAGUAGGGGACCUGCAUCAGCCUUGGCUGUAGGGCAGUACAGGCAAACUCCCUGAGAGGGGACUUGCAUCAGUCCCAGCUGCUUCGGCUUCCCCAGUCAGACCUCCAGUUUCUCCCUCCACACCACCAGCAAGUCAUCACAGGCUCUGCAAAAUGCUCUGAUCCAGAUACAUGGACUAGUCCAGGAGACUCAUGAGCCCAGUCAUCCCUCACUGACCACUGAACAGACAGAUCUACAACCUGGUGAUUGGAGUUGAGUCCAUAGACAUCAAGUGCCUAACCUUGAACCCAAGUGGGCUGGUCUGUAUCCAAUCAUUUUGCUGACUCCAACUGCUGUUAAGGUUGCUGGACAUGCCCACUGGAGUCACCGUUCCCAAGUUAAGAGAGCCCAUCCGGACCACAUUCCUCAAACAUGGACAGUAAAAAGAACAGACAAUCCCCUCAAGGUCAGACUGGU